Long non-coding RNA from Drosophila willistoni, 1333 nucleotides. RefSeq lists it as uncharacterized. The record is from RefSeq and is a predicted model, not a curated record. Lineage: Eukaryota; Metazoa; Arthropoda; Insecta; Diptera; Drosophilidae. The transcript has 3 exons.
UUGUAUCUGUUAAUUUAUUAUUACUAAUUGUUUGCAAUUAGUCACAGGUGAUGCUGGAGACGGAGAUGAAGUGGUUUCUGUGGACUUAGGCAAUUGCUGUUACUUGUGGGCUAAUCUAUGCAAAUACGAAUAUUGUUUUAUGCGAUUACAAUAGUUUUUAGCACUUAUUUGUUGUAUUGACUUCCUCUGACUGUUACCCACCGCCGGCAAUCAAUAUAUACAUAUGUUUGUCAUAUGUAGAUAUGUGUAGAUUUGUAUAGAAAAAUGUGACAAAAGUCACAGUCCAUCAAUGACUUUGACUUGAAAUCUGGUCUAAAGUCUAAUCGAAGUUUUAUAUCUAGUCAUACCAACAGAUGGAACGAGCUAUAAAAUUUAGUGGAUAAAGGGCGGCUGGAAAUUACGGGGCAGAUGGCGGUUGGAGAGGGGGGAUAAACGAUGCUACUUAAAGUAUAUAAUGACAGCAGGCUGAUGAAAAAUAAGUUUCACAAAAUUAGCUAAAGACGUCCGCCAUUAAAUCAAAGUCGAACAAUAAAACUAAGCAAUGACUACGAGUUUAGCGGAAAAACAAAAGAAAAAAAAACACUCUGUAUAUUAUAUAGACUCCAAGAUACCCUGUACAAAUUUAGGCAUAAAUAUAGAAUACUUUGUGGACUUUACUUUAAAAGGUUUCAAAGGUCUAAAUGGCUGCAAAUGUCUAGAAUAAAUAAGAUAGCCAAUUGUACCCUUUAUCCCUAUUUAUAGUCAGAGGUAUCGAAAAACAUUGCCAGUGGCAAAAAUCAACGACGACAGCGACAUGGACAUGGACACGGACAGGUUACACUCCGAACCGACACCAAUUUUUUGGAUUCGUCUAGUAAACGGAGUUCGAUUUGUAGUAACCUUGUUGUUGUCUUUGGCCUGUCAUUAAACAGAAAAGAGAAGACAACAGAAAAUGAAAAGCGAAAAAGAGAAGAUGAAACACAACAUUCGAACUGAACUCUGAGACGGAGAGACAAAUAAGUGUUUAGCUUGGUACCAUCAAUCAAUGUGCCAUGAAUUAACCUUACCUUAGCCAUCAUCAGUGUCUUGACAUCAAGUGCAUGGACAGACAGAACAAUGUAGGCUUUAAUUUAGCGCUUAAUACACACAACUAACAAAUGGCAUUUAGUCAUUUGACAAAGAAACAUUCUUCAUUAGCCAUGGACCAUUGACAAUAGUUUCAUUUAAAUGUGUCUGAAAGAACUCUUUGAAACUAUAUUGAAAGAUUUGACCCAUUCAUAAUGUUUUUACAACUCAUUAAAGAAUACACUUCCGAUCAAUAUAUACAAAAAGUAUGGGUAUAUUUUUUCGACUU